RNAcentral lists this ribosomal RNA (477 nucleotides) under uncultured bacterium. RNAcentral's name for it is "partial 16S ribosomal RNA". It matches the Rfam family "Bacterial small subunit ribosomal RNA", at positions 28 to 523 of the family's 1533-position model. The record is from RNAcentral.
GACGAACGCUGGCGGCGUGCUUAACACAUGCAAGUCGAACGGUAAGGCCCUUCGGGGUACACGAGUGGCGAACGGGUGAGUAACACGUGGGUGAUCUGCCCUGCACUUCGGGAUAAGCCUGGGAAACUGGGUCUAAUACCGGAUAGGACCCUGGGAUGCAUGUCCUGGGGUGGAAAGCUUUUGCGGUGUGGGAUGGGCCCGCGGCCUAUCAGCCUGUUGGUGGGGUGAUGGCCUACCAAGGGGACGACGGGUAGCCGGCCUGAGAGGGUGACCGGCCACACUGGGAAUGAGAUACGGCCCAGACUCCUACGGAGGCAGCGGUGGGGAAUAUUGCACAAUGGGCGCAAGCCUGAUGCAGCGACGCCGCGUGAGGGAUGACGGCCUUCGGGUUGUAAACCUCUUUCAGCAUCGACGAAGCGAAAGUGACGGUAGGUGCAGAAGAAGGACCGGCCAACUACGUGCCAGCCGCCGCGGUAA